Molecule: ribosomal RNA, 468 nt
Filed under: uncultured archaeon
Lineage: Archaea
Description: bacterial SSU rRNA
Rfam family: Archaeal small subunit ribosomal RNA
Source: RNAcentral
UUCUUGGUUGAUCCUGCCGGAGGUCACUGCUAUUGGGAUUCGACUAAGCCAUGCGAGUCGAGAGGGUUCGGCCCUCGGCUGACGGCUCAGUAACACGUGGAUAAUCUGCCCUUAGGUGGAGGAUAACCUCGGGAAACUGAGAAUAAUACUCCAUAUGUCUAGGAUGCUGGAAUGCACCUAGAUUUAAAGUUCCGGCGCCUAAGGAUGAGUCUGCGGACUAUCAGGUUGUAGUCAGGGUAAUGACCUGACUAGCCUACGACGGAUAUGGGUUGUGAGAGCAAUAACCCAGAGAUGAUAUCUGAGACACGAUAUCAGGCCCUACGGGGCGCAGCAGGCGCGAAAACUUCACACUGUGCGAAAGCACGAUGAGGGAAUCCCAAGUGCUUGCUCGCAAGAGUAAGCUGUUUCUUUGUUUAAAAUGCAUUGAGAGUAAGGGCUGGGUAAGACGGGUGCCAGCCGCCGCGGUAA